Molecule: ribosomal RNA, 440 nt
Filed under: uncultured bacterium
Lineage: Bacteria
Description: partial 16S ribosomal RNA
Rfam family: Bacterial small subunit ribosomal RNA
Source: RNAcentral
CCUACGGGAGGCAGCAGUGGGGAAUAUUGCACAAUGGGGGAAAGCCUGAUGCAGCGACGCAGCGUGAGGGAAGAAGGAUUUCGGUAUGGAAAGCUCUAUCAGCAGGGAAGAAAAGGACGGUACCUGAUUAAGAAGCCCCGGCUAACUACGUGCCAGCAGCCGCGGUUAUACGUAGGGGGCAAGCGUUAUCCGGAUUUACUGGGUGUAAAGGGAGCGUAGACGGCAGCACAAGUCUGGAGUGAAAUGCCGGGGCUUAACCCUGGAACUGCUUUGGAAACUGUGCAGCUAGAGUGCAGGAGAGGUAAGUGGAAUUCCUGGUGUAGCGGUGAAAUGCGUAGAUAUUAGGAGGAACACCAGUGGCGAAGGCGGCUUACUGGACUGUCACUGACGUUGAGGCUCGAAAGCGUGGGGAGCAAACAGGAUUAGAUACCCUUGUAGUC